AGUGAUUGUUGAUAGGAUACUGUUUAUAACUUAGUUUGCAUAGCACCACUUUCUCUGAGUUUUAACAAUGGAAUUUCAGUUGAGAUCUGUAGUUUUACCAUGUGGAGAUUCAGCUUCAGAAUUGGUAGAAAAUCCGGAAUUAAUUGAUAUGACUGAUAUAGUUUUCAUGCUCAUAGCUCAUUUCGCCAAGUUAUUCAACAAAUACAACAAAAAAGUGAUCUACGUAGCCAGAAUAUGGAUUGGUUACAUAGUAGAUGGAAUUGAAAUAGUUGCUAUAAGCAUUGACCAAGGAGGAAUAAAUUUUGAAAGUUGGUUUGUAAAUUUUCUUUUCGGAGCAUAUUUAUUAACUAUAGUGGUGUUCGUAACUUACAUUACAUUUAUUGAAUGUUGUUCAAAGGCUUCAUUAUCAAGGCAUUGGAUGAAAAUAUUUAUCAUUUUCAAGCUUUCGUCGUUUGUGAAUGCUCUUUUUAUCUUCAUUUAUCCCAUUGUGAUUUCAGACAGCCAUUAUCCGUUUUGGGAAAUCAUCGUGAUGAUUAUCGCCGCACUUGACAUGUUGUCGAUCUUUAUAAUAUUGAUGCUAACGAUUUUUGUGAUGUGUAAAUGUGUUCGUCUCAAUAAAGUUGCACCAAAACAAACGAACCGGAAUAUACCAAAACCAACCAACAAAAAGAAAAGUACUACUGUCGUUAAAGGGAAAAAGUAAUAAUUUCAACAAACACUUAUAUGACAGUGGAUUAACAAAAUUUGAUUCAAGAAUGUUUGAUUUAUCUGUAUCUGUCAAGCCGUUUUUAAAACAGUCGUCGUUUUAAUCAUAUUUUUUUUAAUAGUUCAAUCUAAACGAUAAGUACUCAGUCUGAUACACACUAAUGCCUCGUUCACACGUACAUUUAAUACGAAUUGAACUCGAAUCGCGUUCACACACUCCUCUUUUUUAUUUCGAAUUGAUUCGAAUUGGCUAAUUCGAAUUAUCUAAUUCGCAUUGGAAAUACGCUUUUGUCAAUACGAAUUAAAAGUUAACGUCGUUUGGAAAGUAAAGCGAAUUUGACGCGCAUUGUAAUUCGAAUUAGAAUUUACGUUAGGACGUAAAACGUUUCGAAUGCGAAUUAAACUAAUUCGAAUUAGUUAAUGCGAAUCGAAUUCGAAUUACGUGUGAACUCAGCAUUAGGUUAAAUAACGAACACAAAUAAUGGUGAAAGAUUUCACGAAGAUUAGCCAGUUUUAUUCGGAAUUACAAUUUAUAUAGGAUUUGUCAUUGAAAAAACUUAAUUCGUGUGAUUUCAUCUUUUAGUAGUGUUUAUUUUUCUAAAAAUAAAGAUCUUUCGAUGGAUUCUAAAUAUGUUCUUAAAUUUCUCUGUAGGGGGAGAUAUCUCAUUAAAUGUGUGUUUAUUUGAAGCAUGUGAGCAUAUGAUACCAGGAAUACUGUGCAUGCUUUAAUAAAACAUUUGCACCGUUAAUUAACAUACACGUCUCAGGUGACAGUAAAAUCUACGUUUUACGAAGGGCAGGAUUAAAAUAUAAUACAAUUAUCUCCUAAUGUUUAUACUGCUUCUAAUCAUUGCUUGAAAAAGAGUACAUGGACCCUCAAAUAUGACAAUUUGCAUGUUUAUGUAUAAAAAUUAUAUGUACCAAUUUUUACUAAUAACUCACCAAUUAAAUUAAACUACAUUUUUUUCUAUAAUCAUAAACAAAACAAUAAAUAUAAAUUAUGUUCAAAGAACUGUUAUACAUGUUAUAAUUUUAUAAUCAGAAUAUAUUAAUAUGAUUCAUUUUACAUCAUAAUUAUACUGAUGAAGGAUAUAUCUGUUAUCCGAAAUAUUUGAUAUUUGUUCACUUUAUUAUUAUUAUUUGAUGAUAUUGUACCAUUUUAGACUUGAUAAAUAUUAUUUAUUUUGUAAUGAACUGUAUCAUAAUUAUAUGAUCUAUUGCCCCG
RNAcentral lists this long non-coding RNA (1930 nucleotides) under Mytilus galloprovincialis (Mediterranean mussel). The record is from RNAcentral. Lineage: Eukaryota; Metazoa; Mollusca; Bivalvia; Mytilida; Mytilidae.